Molecule: long non-coding RNA, 1087 nt
Filed under: Olea europaea subsp. europaea
Lineage: Eukaryota; Viridiplantae; Streptophyta; Magnoliopsida; Lamiales; Oleaceae
Source: RNAcentral
CUGCCAUUAUCAGUUAUGAGGACUUUCGGUAUCUCGAACCUGCAUAUGAUGGAUCUCCAAAUGAAACUUCUUAACUUCGGCUCUGAAAUUGUUGCUAAAGGCUUGGCGUCCACCCACUUAGUGAAAUACUCUACAGCCACAACCACAAACUUCAAUCGUCCCCUAGUUAUUGGAAAGGGGACCAAGGAUGUCAAUUUCCCACUGCUCAAAUGGGGUUGUGCAACUAAUGUUAGUGAGGUCCUCUGCGGGAGGGUGGAUGACAUUGCCAAAUCUUUGGCACUUGUCACAUUUCUUGACAUAUUCCUGGGUGUCUUUCUUCAUGGUUGGCCAAUAAUAUCCAUACAUUAUGAGCUUGAAGGCUAAUGUCCAAGCUCCUUGAUGGUUCCCACAUACUCCUUCAUGAACUUCUUCUGGGGCCUGGGAUGAUUCGGAAGGCCUAAGGCAUCUGAGGUAUGGAAGUGUGAGGCUCCUAUGAAAUAAAACUCCUUCAAUCAUGUAAUACGUCAGAGCUUUGGACCGGAUGCUUGUCGCUGCUCAAGGAUCUUCUGGAAGAUUGCCAUGUUUUAUGAAGUACACUAUUGGAUCCAUCCACGAUGGCUCAUUAUCAAUAUCCAUGACGCCUAUAGUCUGAUUGAUGCUUGGCUCGGUUACAAUUCUAACGUGGAUUGUCCUAUUAAGCCCAUCUAUUCCCAUGAACACCAAUCUUGACAAGGCAUCGGCCUUACAAUUCUCAACCCGAGAAAUUUUCACAAUUUCACAACUCUUGAACUUUCUCUGGAGAUCAUGCACUUUCAAGCAGUAUAAGCUCAUCUUCUCGUCCUUCCUAUCGAACGUCUCUUCGAUUUGUCCAACCACCAACUGGGAAUUACUGUAAAUUUGAUAUUUUCAAGCUCGAGAUUCAUGGCGAGUUCCAUGGCUAUGAUGACGGCAUCAUACUCUGCCUCAUUAUUGGUCACCUCAAAUUCGAACCUGAGUGCCACUGAAUGUUUAUGAGCACGUCCGGGCUUAUGAUUAUGACUCCUGCACCCGAGCCCGAAGAGUUUGAUGCUCCCGAGCUACCAUUUGGCCCCCGAGGCCUUGGGAUGAG